CCUACGGGUGGCUGCAGUCGAGAAUCAUUCACAAUGGGGGAAACCCUGAUGGUGCGACGCCGCGUGGGGGAAUGAAGGUCUUCGGAUUGUAAACCUCUGUCAUGUGGGAGCAAAUUAAAAAGAUAGUACCACAAGAGGAAGAGACGGCUAACUCUGUGCCAGCAGCCGCGGUAAUACAGAGGUCUCAAGCGUUGUUCGGAAUCACUGGGCGUAAAGCGUGCGUAGGCUGUUUCGUAAGUCGGGUGUGAAAGGCGCGGGCUCAACCCGCGGACGGCACAUGAUACUGCGAGACUAGAGUAAGGGAGGGGGAGCCGGAAUUCUCGGUGUAGCAGUGAAAUGCGUAGAUAUCGAGAGGAACACUCGUGGCGAAGGCGGGUUCCUGGACAUUAACUGACGCUGAGGCACGAAGGCCAGGGGAGCGAAAGGGAUUAGAUACCCCGGUAGUC
Molecule: ribosomal RNA, 446 nt
Filed under: uncultured bacterium
Lineage: Bacteria
Description: partial 16S ribosomal RNA
Rfam family: Bacterial small subunit ribosomal RNA
Source: RNAcentral